UUAAUGAAAUCUUUCUUUUUUGUUUGGGUACUGUCUUUGAAAUCCAGUGUGGAUUUUACACAUAUAUUACAGCAUAUCUAACUUUAGAACAGCCACAUUUCAAGUGCUCAAUAGCCACAUGUAGCUAGUGGCUACUGUAUUACACAGCACGGACCUAGUCAGUCUGAUGGCUCUCUUUGGCAGCUGUUUUUAAUCCAGCCUUUUACUAGAGUAUUUUAUGAAAGAAAUUCAUGAAUAUGACUGUUUUCCUUUGUCUUUUGUUGGCAGGCAUUUAGGCUCACCAUGAUGAGACUUGCUGUCUACCUUGAAUACAUGUUUUAUGUAGGUGACUAAAGUAGCACAGCGAUUAUAUACUAGGAAACUGAUACUAUCAGAAGAAUGAUUUGUUACACAAAAUGGAAGACGUUUUGUUCACAGAACUGUGGGCCCAACCUACUACACGAGUCCUUUCAAGAGAGGAAACGUUCCUGGCUGCAGCUAGAGAGAGAUGGCAGCGUGAGGAGGCUCUGACUUGCUGCAGCUGCCCUGAAGAUACGGGAAGGGUGUCACCGGCUAUGGGGUGCUGGAGGCCUCUGGAAGUGGAUUCUCUUCUAACAACUACAGAAAAGAAUGCUGUUGUGCUGACAUUUUGAUUUUAGCCCAGUGACAUCUGUGCUGGAUUUCUGACCUACAGUACUAUAAGGUUCUCCUGUAGAACUUCCCAGGCAGAAGAAAAGAUAAUUCUAAUGGUUCUGCUGUGGAGCAGAGAGUCACAGCUUGCAUCACAGUCCACGGAUCACCAAGAGGAACCUUACUGACUACUGGUGAGUCAAUGUUUUACAUCACAUGAAGACAAAAGAGGAUCACGGAUGUCAUUUUAGUUUGGGUUCUCACAAAAGCAGACCCUGAGAGGAGGACUUGGGUGACUCUACGAAGCAUAAAGCGAAGAAUGGGGAAAGUGAUUCAGGGAAGGGAAACGUUAAUGAAUAGAUUAUUGUGUUGAGCAGCUGGGGCUUAGUCUCAUCGUGGAUCUUCUGAAAAACCA
Molecule: long non-coding RNA, 1024 nt
Organism: Homo sapiens (human)
Lineage: Eukaryota; Metazoa; Chordata; Mammalia; Primates; Hominidae
Exons: 3
Source: RefSeq, a predicted model, not a curated record